RNAcentral lists this ribosomal RNA (484 nucleotides) under uncultured bacterium. Its description in RNAcentral is "partial 16S ribosomal RNA". It matches the Rfam family "Bacterial small subunit ribosomal RNA", at positions 30 to 507 of the family's 1533-position model. The record is from RNAcentral.
AUUGAACGCUGGCGGCAGGCCUAACACAUGCAAGUCGAGCGGAUGAAGGGAGCUUGCUCCUGGAUUCAGCGGCGGACGGGUGAGUAAUGCCUAGGAAUCUGCCUGGUAGUGGGGGAUAACGUCCGGAAACGGGCGCUAUUACCGCAUACGUCCUGAGGGAGAAAGUGGGGGAUCUUCGGACCUCACGCUAUCAGAUGAGCCUAGGUCGGAUUAGCUAGUUGGUGGGGUAAAGGCCUACCAAGGCGACGAUCCGUAACUGGUCUGAGAGGAUGAUCAGUCACACUGGAACUGAGACACGGUCCAGACUCCUACGGGAGGCAGCAGUGGGGAAUAUUGGACAAUGGGCGAAAGCCUGAUCCAGCCAUGCCGCGUGUGUGAAGAAGGUCUUCGGAUUGUAAAGCACUUUAAGUUGGGAGGAAGGGCAGUAAGUUAAUACCUUGCUGUUUUGACGUUACCAACAGAAUAAGCACCGGCUAACUUCGUG